RNAcentral lists this ribosomal RNA (424 nucleotides) under Hadrosciurus igniventris (North Amazonan red squirrel). Its description in RNAcentral is "Sciurus igniventris (North Amazonan red squirrel) partial 12S ribosomal RNA". It matches the Rfam family "Bacterial small subunit ribosomal RNA", at positions 772 to 1390 of the family's 1533-position model. The record is from RNAcentral. Lineage: Eukaryota; Metazoa; Chordata; Mammalia; Rodentia; Sciuridae.
CUGGGGGAGUGAUACCCCACUAUGCUUAGCCCUAAACAUAAAUAUUCAACUAACAAGAAUAUUCGCCAGAGAACUACUAGCCACAGCUUAAAACUCAAAGGACUUGGCGGUGCUUUAUACCCCUCUAGAGGAGCCUGUUCUAUAAUCGAUAAACCCCGUUAAACCUCACCACUCUUUGCAAUAUCAGCCUAUAUACCGCCAUCUUCAGCAAACCCUAACAAGGCAUCAUAGUAAGCAUAAUAACUCUACAUAAAAACGUUAGGUCAAGGUGUAGCCUAUAGAGUGGGAAGAAAUGGGCUACAUUUUCUAAUUCUCUAGAACAUUCCACGAUAGCCGUCAUGAAACAUGACUAGCCCGAGGCGGAUUUAGUAGUAAGUUGGGAAUAGAGUGCCCAACUGAAUUGGGCAAUAAAGCACGCACACAC